RNAcentral lists this long non-coding RNA (1145 nucleotides) under Sus scrofa (pig). RNAcentral describes it as "lncRNA (ENSSSCG00005034769.1)". The record is from RNAcentral. Lineage: Eukaryota; Metazoa; Chordata; Mammalia; Artiodactyla; Suidae.
CCGCCCCACCCCGAGCCUGGGGGGACCGGCACCUGCACCAGGAGGAUGAGGCGGCUCCGGAGGGAGGGAGCGGGCUUAGCCCUUCUUGGUCAAGACGCUGCUGAUAUUCUUUACUCAAAACCAAACCCGUAUCUACAAAAGAGAAACAGACCCAAUCACAGAGAACAGACUUGUGGUGGCCAAGGGGGUGGGGGCACUGGACGGGGAGUUUGGGGUUCGUAGAUGCAAACUCUUAGGGUUAGGGCCGAUAAGCAAUGCGGUCCUACCCUACAGCCCAGAGAACUCUAUCCGAUCUCUUGGGAUAGAACAUGAUGGGAGGUAGUAUGAGAAAAAUGUGUGUGUGUGUGUGUGUGUAUGUAUGACUGUGUCACUUUGCUGGAAAAAAUUGUAAAUCAACUAAACUUUAAAAAUGCCUUUAUUUUUCAUCUAGAUGCGAAAGUGGUACAUACACUUCAUCGGGGAAAAUGUAGAGGGUGCAGGGAGCACAAAUCACAAGGAAAAUAAAAACCACCUGCGACCCCAACAGCCCACGAUGGCAGUUGGCCGCGUUUCAGUCGCUUUCCAGCUCCCUUGCUCUGAUGACAAACACUGCGGGGUCGUUUGGAGCAUUCGCUAGCAUUUUUCCUGGCAUUUGAAUGGUCUGUUUCUUCCCCGCAAUGAUUAAAUAGCACCCCACCAUCUGGCUGCUCCACCGCUGAUUUAACCCGCCCACUCUGAUCAAAUUUUGGGGUCGUUCCAUUUUGUUUUUAAUUUUUAAAUAACGAAAUAUUCUCCAGACUCAGAAUAAUGAGUAACUUUUGCAUAAUGAGUGGUGGAUGCUGGCUAGAUGCUCAGGAGCUGGGGCGGGGCAGGGAUGAGGACACAGGGGCCCCUGUCACCCUGCACCCCCGCCCGGGCUUGGUACCCUCCCUCCCUUGCCAGCCUGGACUCCCAGAGUCCAGUAGAGGGCUCCUGGGCCAGGGGGGGACAGAGCCUAGUCCCGGAAGCAUUUGCCAGGUGAGAUCUGCAAACCCCCAGGACGGUGGCUUGUUGGAGUAACUGCGGGUGAUACAGCCAAAUAUGACAACAGCCUGGACACAUGCUCCCCUGAGGACACGGACCGAGGCUGGUGGGUCCAGAACAUCCAUCCGCGUGCGCGGGCCCUC